RNAcentral lists this ribosomal RNA (253 nucleotides) under uncultured bacterium. RNAcentral describes it as "partial 16S ribosomal RNA". It matches the Rfam family "Bacterial small subunit ribosomal RNA", at positions 524 to 776 of the family's 1533-position model. The record is from RNAcentral.
UACGUAGGGGGCAAGCGUUGUCCGGAUUUAUUGGGCGUAAAGCGCUCGCAGGUGGUCCGCUGCGUCGUGCGUGAAAGACCCCGGCUCAACUGGGGGAUGUCGUGCGAUACGGGCGGACUGGAGGCCAGUAGGGGGAUGCGGAAUUCCGGGUGUAGUGGUGGAAUGCGUAGAGAUCCGGAGGAACACCAGCGGCGAAGGCAGCUCGCUGGGACGGUAUUGACGCUAAGGCGCGAAAGCGUGGGGAGCAAACAGG